GGGAGGCUCACGUCCCCACCCUCGGGCUUUCCAAGGUGCCGCGCCAGGGGUUGCUGAGGUAGAGGUGGCUCCCCUGCUCCUCCUUCCACCUCUCCGAUUCCACCUCCUCCUCGCACCCCGCUGGGAACUCCUCCAGGGGCUGAGAUUGGAUUCACCGAGCCUGCGGAGAGUGGGGAACUGCGGGCAGGUCGGCGGAGUUAGAUGGCAGCAAAGGUGGGCCGGCUUGGUGUGAUAAAGUUCCAACUGGGUCCUUCCGCGAGCCCUGGGUCCAUAAGAUGUCAUCGGCGAGCGCUGGACUUGACCGUCAACUUGGGAUUGUUAAGGUACUGUAUGGAUGGUCAAGUGCUGGAAAGAAAAAAAAAUGGCCCAUAAAUUUGUUUGGUUUCACAAGAGACAUGGGAGACCAAAUAACGCACGAUGAGUACUUUUCUAAAUAUCCUGUUUAUUCUCCCAACGGGGCUCAUAAAAAUACGGAUGCAUUCAGUGGGUUGAGAGAUCUCUGUGCAGUCGUGACCCUGCAAUUAUAUUUGACAAGGGUGGUGAUGACAGAUGGGUGGCACAGAAGCCUACCCUUCUUUGGCACCAAUUGAGCAUGGUGACAACAGAUUCAAAAUGGCCUGUGUCUGAACUUGAUGGUCCUGUUUUUCUGCUCUGGUCUUUAGGAAUGAGGGGAGCCUUCCCGAGUUCCGCCAUUUCCUUGCAUUUUUCUUUUUACAUAUAUUCGUUCACUUAUUUAUUUACUAAUUUAUUUUAAAUAGAGUCUUGUUCUGUAGCCCAGGCUGUGGGGUUUUUUUGGCUGGCUGCAAUCUCCACCUCCCUGGUUCCAGCAAUUCUCCUGCCACAGCCUCCUGAGUAGCUGGGAUUACAGGUGUAUGCCACCCUGCUCACCUAACUUUUGUUUUUUUAGUAGAGACAGGGUUUCACCAUGUUGCCCAGGCUGACCUUCAGGGAUCUGCCUGCCUCAGUCUCCCAAAGUGCUGGGAUAACAGGUGUGAGUCACCGCGCCCAGCCUAAAUUGCAAUUUUUCAAAAUAAAUGUUUUGUUUUGCUUUUUUUAAAAGUAGGUCAUCACCUAGUGACCACUGUUAUUGAAAGGCCACUGUUAUUGAAAGUGGCCACUGUUAUUUAAAGGUGGCACUGAGGGCCGCCUGGCCACUUCACAGAGCCUGGGGCAACUGCUUUCUCUCCUUCCCUUCUGGAGGCCCCUCCCUCUCUCCCUCACUGCCUAGGGAACUUCCAUCCUGGUGCGGACCCUGUUGUUCUUUUAUCCCUCUAGGUAAAUGGUGUCUCCUUCUGUCGCCAAGGCGGUGGCAUGGUCUCGGCUGGCUGCAAUCUCCACCUCCUUGCUUCCAGCGAUUCUCCUGCCUCAGCCCCCCGAGUAGCAGAAAUUACAGGAGUUUCAUGGCAGGGCGCUUGGCUGGCUUGUUUAAAUUCAUUCUGAAUAAGAACUGAGGAUGUCAGCUUCUGGCCUCAUGGACUCUGGACUGAAGAGUCCCCUUGUCUAUCUAUCAUGAGACUGUACACGUAAGAAGCAAAAAACUAGUAACAUUUAAAAUAAAUAAUUUUGUUGUACAGAAAUACACGGAUGCACCUAAAACACAGAAAUGAUUCUUUUAAAAGUUGUGUUAGUCCUGGUGGGUGUGGCAG
Molecule: long non-coding RNA, 1646 nt
Filed under: Homo sapiens (human)
Lineage: Eukaryota; Metazoa; Chordata; Mammalia; Primates; Hominidae
Description: HSALNT0409385
Source: RNAcentral